GGAAGGGAGGAAGCGUAGAAGGUGCCGAUGCACUUUUCCUCUCUCCAGACUUCCUGACUGCUCCAAGAAUUUCAUCGAACAAGACUCAAAGAGGCCCAGCUGCUCUGCGUUUUGAUUCUUCUCCCUCUCUCAGUCCACACUGACCUGGGAGGGGCUUCUCAAACACCACAUUUCCUAGCAUGCUGUGAGAAGAGGACUGUGAGCUAAAAAGGGAGAAAAGGCACUCCCUUCCUCAUCAACAAACACCUGACCUGGGUAGACCCUCUGCUUACCAAGAUCCAGUCCACCUUUUGACAUCAGCAUUCAUGCUGCCUCUUUUUACGAACCAAGCCAAAGUGGUCCCUUCCUCUGGAAAUUAUAGGGUACUUAAUGUACCUCAUAUCCAGAUCUUGAGGGUACUAAAUCAUUGAAAACUGUGCAGCAUCCUAGCACGAACAUGCACUACAUAAUGUGCUCUGAAGGAAAUAUAGAUUCAAGAGCUCUUGGAACCAAAUCACACUAUCAUAAAAUGGGAAGAGGACUCCAGACUAAGCAUAUAUGAGAUACACAGCAAAAAAAGUUUGAUUAAUACCUUCAGAUCGGCAUUCUGAAAACUUGACUAUGAUCACAUCAUACACACAUUCAGAAACCUCAGAAACUCAGACUAAUGCUCCAAGUUCUUGGGUCAUGUUCAAGGAGCUCCUGUAAUUAGGCCCCAGCCUUGCUUUUCCAUCUGAUCACCAGCUUGGGUAAAGUUUCUGCUUCAGCCUUGGCCCAUCCC
Molecule: non-coding RNA, 760 nt
Filed under: Pongo abelii (Sumatran orangutan)
Lineage: Eukaryota; Metazoa; Chordata; Mammalia; Primates; Hominidae
Source: RNAcentral